GACGAACGCUGGCGGCGUGCUUAACACAUGCAAGUCGAACGGAAAGGCCCUGCUUUUGUGGGGUGCUCGAGUGGCGAACGGGUGAGUAACACGUGAGUAACCUGCCCUUGACUUUGGGAUAACUUCAGGAAACUGGGGCUAAUACCGGAUAGGAGCUCCUGCUGCAUGGUGGGGGGUGGAAAUUUUGGGCUGUUGGGGAUGGACGAGCGGCUUAACAGCUUGUUGGUUGGGGAGGGGCUUACCAAGGCCUUGGCGGGUAGCCGGCCGGAGAGGGUGAACGGCCACAUUGGGACUGAGAUACGGCCCAGACUCCUACGGGAGGCAGCAGUGGGGAAUAUUGCACAAUGGGCGGAAGCCUGAUGCAGCAACGCCGCGUGCGGGAUGACGGCCUUCGGGUUGUAAACCGCUUUCGCCUGUGACGAAGCGUGAGUGACGGUAAUGGGUAAAGAAGCACCGGCUAACUACGUG
Molecule: ribosomal RNA, 468 nt
Filed under: uncultured bacterium
Lineage: Bacteria
Description: partial 16S ribosomal RNA
Rfam family: Bacterial small subunit ribosomal RNA
Source: RNAcentral